ACGCAUUUCGGUGUGUAAACUCCUUUUAUAAGGGAAGAUAAUGACGGUACCUUAUGAAUAAGCACCGGCUAACUCCGUGCCAGCAGCCGCGGUAAUACGGAGGGUGCAAAGCGUUACUCGGAAUCACUGGGCGUAAAGGAUGCGUAGGCUGGAGAUCAAGUCAGGAGUGAAAUCCAACGGCUCAACCGUUGAACUGCUCCUGAAACUGGUCACCUAGAAUAUGGGAGAGGUAGAUGGAAUUGGUGGUGUAGGGGUAAAAUCCGUAGAUAUCACCAGGAAUACCGAUUGCGAAGGCGAUCUACUGGAACAUUAUUGACGCUGAGGCAUGAAAGCGUGGGGAGCAAACAGGAUUAGAUACCCUGGUAGUCCACGCCCUAAACGAUGCACACUAGUUGUUGCCCUGCUAGUCAGGGCAGUAAUGCACUUAACAGAUUAAGUGUGCCGCCUGGGGAGUACGGUCGCAAGAUUAAAACUCAAAGGAAUAGACGGGGACCCGCACAAGCGGUGGAGCAUGUGGUUUAAUUCGAAGAUACACGAAGAACCUUACCUGGCCUUGAUAUCCUAAGAAUCCUGCAGAGAUAUGGGAGUGCUAGUUUACUAGAACUUAGAGACAGGUGCUGCACGGCUGUCGUCAGCUCGUGUCGUGAGAUGUUGGGUUAAGUCCCG
Molecule: ribosomal RNA, 666 nt
Filed under: uncultured bacterium
Lineage: Bacteria
Description: bacterial SSU rRNA
Rfam family: Bacterial small subunit ribosomal RNA
Source: RNAcentral